Molecule: long non-coding RNA, 271 nt
Filed under: Daucus carota (carrot)
Lineage: Eukaryota; Viridiplantae; Streptophyta; Magnoliopsida; Apiales; Apiaceae
Description: long non-coding RNA (DCAR_LNC002179)
Source: RNAcentral
UCCUCGUUGCUUAUGAAUACCGGCGGCGAGCCGGAGAUGGGGCGUCUCAUAACGCCGGACUCUCCGUCUGUUAUGAUGAUUGCUCUGUCCUGGGAGGCAUUCCCGACCGGCGUGUUGUCGACGGGAGGGUUAUCGCCUAUCCCCGAUCUAGGAUCGGGGGGUUGGUUCCCGCCGGGCGUUGUCUCGCCGUGAUUCGACAUCUUUCUCCUUGAUGGAAAAUCUUGAACUAGCCCCUCCUUCUAGCGCCAAUUUGUUAACGGAGAAAACUGGU